Molecule: ribosomal RNA, 790 nt
Filed under: uncultured archaeon
Lineage: Archaea
Description: bacterial SSU rRNA
Rfam family: Archaeal small subunit ribosomal RNA
Source: RNAcentral
ACUGCUCAGUAACACGUGGACAACUUACCCUUGGGACCGGGAUAACCCCUGGGAAACUGGGGCUAAUACCGGAUAGAGCAUCGGUUGCUGGAAUGCACGAUGGUCUAAAGCUGAGGCGCCCAAGGAUAGGUCUGCGGCCGAUUAGGUUGUUGUUGAUGUGACGGAUCAACAAGCCUACGAUCGGUACGGGUUGUGAGAGCAAUAGCCCGGAGAUGGGUUCUGAGAGAAGAACCCAGGUCCUACGGGACGCAUCAGGCGCGAAAACUUUACAAUGUGCGAAAGCACGAUAAGGGAACUCUGAGUGCCUCCUAAGGAGGCUGUUCGGGUAUCUAAAAAGCACCUGAAGGAAGGGCUGGGUAAGACCGGUGCCAGCCGCCGCGGUAACACCGGCAGCCCAAGUGGUAGCCAUGCUUAUUGGGUCUAAAGCGUCCGUAGCCGGCUAAGUAAGUUCUUUGGGAAAUUUGACCGCUUAACGGUCAAGCUAUCAGGGAAUACUACUUGGCUUGGGACCGGGAGAGGUCAGAGGUACUCCAAGGGUAGGGGUGAAAUCCGUUAAUCCCUGGGGGACCACCGGUAGCGAAGGCGUCUGACCAGAUCGGGUCCGACGGUGAUGGACGAAGGCUAGGGGAGCGAACCGGAUUAGAUACCCGGGUAGUCCUAGCUGUAAACGAUGCGGGCCAGGUGUUGGCAUUACUGCGAGUGAUGCCAGUGCCGAAGGGAAGCCGUUAAGCCCGUCAUCUGGGGAGUACGGCCGCAAGGCUGANACUUAAAGGAAUUGGCGGGGGAGCAC